CCUAUCAGGAAGUUCUGAACCAAAGAAACCGAAGAGGUUUGAUCUUGGCUCAGGACGAACGCUGGCGGCGUGCUUAACACAUGCAAGUCGAACGAUGAACCGCUUCGGGCGGGGAUUAGUGGCGAACGGGUGAGUAACACGUGGGCAAUCUGCCCUGCACUCUGGGACAAGCCCUGGAAACGGGGUCUAAUACCGGAUAUGACUGUCCAUCGCAUGGUGGAUGGUGUAAAGCUCCGGCGGUGCAGGAUGAGCCCGCGGCCUAUCAGCUUGUUGGUGAGGUAGUGGCUCACCAAGGCGACGACGGGUAGCCGGCCUGAGAGGGCGACCGGCCACACUGGGACUGAGACACGGCCCAGACUCCUACGGGAGGCAGCAGUGGGGAAUAUUGCACAAUGGGCGAAAGCCUGAUGCAGCGACGCCGCGUGAGGGAUGACGGCCUUCGGGUUGUAAACCUCUUUCAGCAGGGAAGAAGCGAAAGUGACGGUACCUGCAGAAGAAGCGCCGGCUAACUACGUGCCAGCAGCCGCGGUAAUACGUAGGGCGCAAGCGUUGUCCGGAAUUAUUGGGCGUAAAGAGCUCGUAGGCGGCUUGUCACGUCGGUUGUGAAAGCCCGGGGCUUAACCCCGGGUCUGCAGUCGAUACGGGCAGGCUAGAGUUCGGUAGGGGAGAUCGGAAUUCCUGGUGUAGCGGUGAAAUGCGCAGAUAUCAGGAGGAACACCGGUGGCGAAGGCGGAUCUCUGGGCCGAUACUGACGCUGAGGAGCGAAAGCGUGGGGAGCGAACAGGAUUAGAUACCCUGGUAGUCCACGCCGUAAACGGUGGGCACUAGGUGUGGGCAACAUUCCACGUUGUCCGUGCCGCAGCUAACGCAUUAAGUACCCCUCUUAUAAACCCCCCGUGCGAAAACA
This 907-nucleotide ribosomal RNA is filed under the name Streptomyces sp. RNAcentral describes it as "bacterial SSU rRNA". It matches the Rfam family "Bacterial small subunit ribosomal RNA". Lineage: Bacteria; Bacillati; Actinomycetota; Actinomycetes; Kitasatosporales; Streptomycetaceae. The record is from RNAcentral.